UGGUGAUCUAACUGGUGGGAGGUCAGGACAUCCCAUCAGAAGGUGGUGAUCUAACUGGUGGGAGAUCAGGACAUCCCAUCAGAAGGUGGUGAUCUAACUGGUGGGAGGUCAGGACAUCCCAUCAGAAGGUGAUCUAACUGGUGGGAGAUCAGGACAUCCCAUCAGAAGGUGAUCUAACUGGUGGGAGAGCAGGACAUCCCAUCAGAAGGUGGUGAUCUAACUGGUGGGAGAUCAGGACAUCCCAUCAGAAGGUGGUGAUCUAACUGGUGGGAGGUCAGGACAUCCCAUCAGAAGGUGGUGAUCUAACUGGUGGGAGGUCAGGACAUCCCAUCAGAAGGUGGUGAUC
RNAcentral lists this long non-coding RNA (346 nucleotides) under Salmo salar (Atlantic salmon). RNAcentral describes it as "lncRNA (ENSSSAG00000103945.1)". Lineage: Eukaryota; Metazoa; Chordata; Actinopteri; Salmoniformes; Salmonidae. The record is from RNAcentral.